Monopterus albus (swamp eel) is the source of this 349-nucleotide long non-coding RNA. RefSeq lists it as uncharacterized. Lineage: Eukaryota; Metazoa; Chordata; Actinopteri; Synbranchiformes; Synbranchidae. The transcript has 3 exons. The record is from RefSeq and is a predicted model, not a curated record.
UUCUUCAAAUUAGUCUCCAGUGGCGGUCUUUAUAUCUUUGGUUGUAGUGGAGCUUCAAGGUGGACAGUGCCAGAGCUGUUCGGCAACUCAGUAGGCCACAGAACGCAUGGACAUGAGUAUGGGACUCGCACAGCGUCGUUUCGACAGCGUUCCGGGGCCCCUGUCACUCCCACAUAUGGAUGUCAGCUACAAGUUGAUGAGCCUGGUGUGAUGCCAUGAUCUGGACACAGGUGAACCUCCCCCCCCUCCAGUUUUAAUGGACUUUAUGGGCCUGUAGAAACAGUGAAGACCAGAAUCACACAAUUUAAGUUGUAAUAGCUUUAUUGAAAAAAAAAAAAAGCCCUGACAA